ACGCUGGCGGCGUGCCUAAUACAUGCAAGUAGAACGCUGAAGGAGGAGCUUGCUCCUCCGGAUGAGUUGCGAACGGGUGAGUAACGCGUAGGUAACCUGCCUGGUAGCGGGGGAUAACUAUUGGAAACGAUAGCUAAUACCGCAUAACAGUAGAUAUUGCAUGAUAUCUGCUUGAAAGGUGCAAUUGCAUCACUACCAGAUGGACCUGCGUUGUAUUAGCUAGUUGGUGAGGUAACGGCUCACCAAGGCGACGAUACAUAGCCGACCUGAGAGGGUGAUCGGCCACACUGGGACUGAGACACGGCCCAGACUCCUACGGGAGGCAGCAGUAGGGAAUCUUCGGCAAUGGACGGAAGUCUGACCGAGCAACGCCGCGUGAGUGAAGAAGGUUUUCGGAUCGUAAAGCUCUGUUGUAAGAGAAGAACGAGUGUGAGAGUGGAAAGUUCACACUGUGACGGUAUCUUACCAGAAAGGGACGGCUAACUACGUGCCAGCAGCCGCGGUAAUACGUAGGUCCCGAGCGUUGUCCGGAUUUAUUGGGCGUAAAGCGAGCGCAGGCGGUUAGAUAAGUCUGAAGUUAAAGGCUGUGGCUUAACCAUAGUACGCUUUGGAAACUGUUUAACUUGAGUGCAAGAGGGGAGAGUGGAAUUCCAUGUGUAGCGGUGAAAUGCGUAGAUAUAUGGAGGAACACCGGUGGCGAAAGCGGCUCUCUGGCUUGUAACUGACGCUGAGGCUCGAAAGCGUAGGGAGCAAACAGGAUUAGAUACCCUGGUAGUCCACGCCGUAAACGAUGAGUGCUAGGUGUUAGACCCUUUCCGGGGUUUAGUGCCGUAGCUAACGCAUUAAGCACUCCGCCUGGGGAGUACGACCGCAAGGUUGAAACUCAAAGGAAUUGACGGGGGCCCGCACAAGCGGUGGAGCAUGUGGUUU
RNAcentral lists this ribosomal RNA (930 nucleotides) under uncultured bacterium. RNAcentral describes it as "bacterial SSU rRNA". It matches the Rfam family "Bacterial small subunit ribosomal RNA", at positions 33 to 947 of the family's 1533-position model. The record is from RNAcentral.